Molecule: long non-coding RNA, 1782 nt
Filed under: Physcomitrium patens
Lineage: Eukaryota; Viridiplantae; Streptophyta; Bryopsida; Funariales; Funariaceae
Description: long non-coding RNA (PPAT_LNC013035)
Source: RNAcentral
AGAACCCUAAUACCCACAAACUCUAAGACCCUCAAAUUCUAAGACCCUAGAACUCUACAACCCUAAGACCUUAAAACCCUAAUAUCCUAAAACCCUAGAAUCCUAAUAUCCUAAGACCCUAAGACCCUAGAACCCUAAGAUCCUAGUACUCCAAGACCCUAGAACCCCAAGACCCUAGAACCUAUCUUCGAAGAGAACAAAGAUCAGAGUAUGUAGCAAAUAUAAUUCGCCGCAUAUUAGAUUUUCUCAAUCUAUAAUUGGUGACACCAUACACCUAGGAUUUGUUUUGGCGUAGUGUCACGGACAUACAUAUAAUUACCUAUAUGAAUAGAUAAAAGUAUGUAAAAGUAGGUUAAUUGUGUAAUAUCUUCUAGAGAAGCUUCUUAGAAGCUUCAUAGACGCUGCUUUGACUUUAUAGGAGUCUAUAGUUGACUUUUAGGUUAGAAACUUGGUCAACAAGUUAGCCAUGUGCCACGCAUGUUGGAAGCUUAAAGAACAAGCUAACUACGUGGUCCAUCCAUAGAAAACUUGCCUUGCAAGCAAAGGCAUGUGGCCUAGAAAGUCAACAUAUAUUGGAGGUCUUAUAGAACAUCGCCACGUGGCUUCUAGUUAGAUAGUAUAUAUAGAGGCAAGAGUGAAGCCCUCUUCACUCUUGUCAACUCCUUUCUUGCUUCUAGUCUAGUUUCAAGGGUCUCUAGUUUUCUUGUAUUUUGGCAAUAGCCAUUCCAGUUUCUUUCUUAAUAUACAUAUUUCUAUUUUGUCCUAUUUCUUUUUGAGAAAAGUCUCACUUACUCUUUAGCUUUCAUCGAGUUCUUGUCCUUGACACGUAGCCAAAUUUGGUAUGCAUUCCAACUCUUUACAUAGUUCUCACAUGAUAACAAAUAUAAAACUCAGAUUCCGAAUUAAGGUCCCUAAACCCUAAAACCUGAAAAAUGAAACUCAUAUUUUUGAGAAACAAAAACGUUUAUAGAUGUCUUUGAGACAAUAGAAGGCUUGGCAAAAUUUCAAACUGAAAAAAGUUGUGAUACAUUGAGAGAUAUGUAGGAUCAAAAACCUCUAAGACACUCUUGUAACCCUAAAUCCUAAACCCUAAUCCUAAACCCUCUAAAUCCUAAACCCUAGAAAUAUAUAAAAAAUAGUAUACAUAUAAUAUUUUGAAACAAAAAAGGACAUAUACGUACAUAUGCUAUUUAAUAUAUUAGUAUUAUAUCUAGGUGCCUCUAUGUAUUUAUUAUAUAUUUAAUUUCAUUUCACUUUUUUGUUUCCUCAUAUAUUAAUCAAAGACAAUUUCUUGCGAUUUUGAAAACCUCAUAACUCCUAAAUCCUAAAAACUUGCUCGAGACCCUAAGACCCUAGAACCCUAGAACCCUAAAUCCUACAACCCUAAGACCCUAAGACCCUAGAAUCCUUAACCCUAAGACCCUAGAAUCCUAGAACCCUAAGAUCCCAAGACCUUAAGACCCUAAGACCCUAAACCCUAAACCCUAAACUUUAGAAUUUAGAAUCCUAGAAUCCUAAGACCCUAAGACCCUAAGACUCUAGAAUCCUAAGAUCCUAGAACCUUAAGACCUUAGAACCCUAAUACCCACAAACUCUAAGACCCUCAAAUUCUAAGACCCUAGAACUCUACAACCCUAAGACCUUAAAACCCUAAUAUCCUAAAACCCUAGAAUCCUAAUAUCCUAAGACCCUAAGACCCUAGAACCCUAAGAUCCUAGUACUCCAAGACCCUAGAACCCCAAGACCCUAGAACCUUAAGACCCUAAGACCCUCAAAUCCUAA